UACGUAGGCAGCAAGCGUUGUUCGGAGUUACUGGGCGUAAAGGGUGUGUAGGCGGUUAUUUAAGUUUGGUGUGAAAUCUCCCGGCUCAACCGGGAGGGUGCGCCGAAUACUGAAUGACUUGGAGUGCGGGAGAGGAAAGUGGAAUUCCUGGUGUAGCGGUGAAAUGCGUAGAGAUCGGGAGGAACAUCAGUUGCGAAGGCGGCUCUCUGGACCAGCACUGACACUGAGGCACGAAAGCGUGGGGAGCAAACAGG
RNAcentral lists this ribosomal RNA (254 nucleotides) under uncultured bacterium. RNAcentral describes it as "partial 16S ribosomal RNA". It matches the Rfam family "Bacterial small subunit ribosomal RNA", at positions 524 to 776 of the family's 1533-position model. The record is from RNAcentral.